This 344-nucleotide long non-coding RNA is filed under the name Bos taurus (domestic cattle). RNAcentral's name for it is "long non-coding RNA NONBTAT024180". Lineage: Eukaryota; Metazoa; Chordata; Mammalia; Artiodactyla; Bovidae. The record is from RNAcentral.
UUGCACACUAAAUCUACGAUGUUUUGACAUGCUCCCUUGAACACAAAGUCUGUUUGGAUUGCAGUGACAGCCAAAUUCAUUAGGAAUAAAUGCAACUUAAUUUAUAAAAGUCUUAUCUCUUCACUCAGAUUGAUUUAUAUUGGGCAGCCCUUAGCUUUCAAAAUUAGGCAUUUGGCAUUUACAAGUAGGUACCUACCAGCACAUCUCUUAAUUAUAAAUUCCUUAGUUCACUGAAGGGAAUAUCUUCAUUAUGCAGUGAAGUGUUAGCUAAGCAUGCUUUCAGACAUGGAAGUCUAAAUAAACCUUAUUUCAGAAUAAAGUCACAGGCUGAUGUAUUUUCAUAA